This 1695-nucleotide unclassified non-coding RNA is filed under the name uncultured fungus. RNAcentral's name for it is "sequence contains 18S rRNA gene, ITS1, 5.8S rRNA gene, ITS2, 28S rRNA gene". The stretch from base 596 to 1695 matches the Rfam family "Eukaryotic large subunit ribosomal RNA", at positions 1 to 961 of the family's 3401-position model. The record is from RNAcentral. Lineage: Eukaryota; Fungi.
GGAAGGAUCAUUCAUAAUAAGUGUUUUAUGGCACUUUUUAAAUCCAUAUCCACCUUGUGUGCAAUGUCAGUCGGUUUUCUUUUUCGUCAAGAAAAAAAGGAUCGACCAAACAUCAACUUAUUCUAAUUGAACUUUUGUCUGAAAACUAUUAUGAAUAAACUAAUUCAAAAUACAACUUUCAACAACGGAUCUCUUGGCUCUCGCAUCGAUGAAGAACGCAGCGAAAUGCGAUACGUAAUGUGAAUUGCAGAAUUCAGUGAAUCAUCGAAUCUUUGAACGCAUAUUGCGCUCUUUGGUAUUCCGAAGAGCAUGCUUGUUUGAGUAUCAGUAAACACCUCAAAACUCUUGAUCUUUUUCAAGCGUUUUGGACUUGAGCAAACCCAACGCCUUUUCUUUUAAGAUCUGUUGCGGCGGGUUGCUUGAAAUGCAGGUGCAGCUGGACAAUCUCCUGAGCUAAAAGCAUAUUUAUUUAGUCCCGUCAAACGGAUUAUUACUUUUUGCUGCAGCUAACAUAAAGGGAGUUUUGACCAUUAUGGCUGACUGAUGCAGGAUUUCACAGAGAAAAGGCCGGCAACGGUUUUGUCUCUGUCAAACUCGAUCUCAAAUCAAGUAAGACUACCCGCUGAACUUAAGCAUAUCAAUAAGCGGAGGAAAAGAAACUAACAAGGAUUCCCCUAGUAACGGCGAGUGAAGCGGGAUGAGCUCAAAUUUAAAAUCUGGCUGGUUUACUAGUCCGAAUUGUAGUUUAUAGAAGCGUUUUCGGUGGCAGCCUGGGUAUAAAUCCUUUGGAAUAGGGUAUCAUAGAGGGUGAGAAUCCCGUCUUUGACUCAGUGCAUGCUACUAUGUGAUACGUUUUCAAAGAGUCGAGUUGUUUGGGAAUGCAGCUCAAAAUGGGUGGUAAAUUUCAUCUAAAGCUAAAUAUUGGCGAGAGACCGAUAGCGAACAAGUACCGUGAGGGAAAGAUGAAAAGAACUUUGAAAAGAGAGUUAAACAGUGCGUGAAAUUGUUGAAAGGGAAACGUUUGACACCAGUCAUGCGGAUGGAAAAUCAGUCUUUUGCAGUGGGGAGUUGUGGGCGUUCUGACCGUAAGGCUGGCGCUUGCUCUAUCUUUGCUGUAAGUGAUGCACUUUUUCAUUUGCAGGUCAACAUCAGUUUGCUUUGCUGGACAAAACCCCAAGAGAAGGUGGCAGCUUAGGCUGUGUUAUAGCUCUGGGGCGAUACAGUGAAGUGGACUGAGGUUUUCGCAGCGUGUGCUCCCGGGCAAGGCUGAUUGGGUGCUAUGGGAUCGUUCGGCGUACAAUGCAUGCAUUUUGCGUCGUGUCUUUUUCAUACUCGCUCAACUCGGCUCUUCCACGCUUAGGAUGUUGACUUAAUGGUUUUAAACGACCCGUCUUGAAACACGGACCAAGGAGUCUAACAUAUAUGCAAGUGUUUGGGUGGCAAACCCAUGCGCGUAAUGAAAGUGAACGUAGGUGCGAUCCGCAAGGUGCAGCAUCGACCGAUCUUGAUAUUUUUGGAUAGAUUUGAGUAAGAGCAUAUAUGCUGGGACCCGAAAGAUGGUGAACUAUGCCUGAAUAGGGUGAAGCCAGAGGAAACUCUGGUGGAGGCUCGUAGCGAUUCUGACGUGCAAAUCGAUCGUCAAAUUUGGGUAUAGGGGCGAAAGACUAAUCGAACCAUCUAGUAGCUGGUUCCUGC